Molecule: ribosomal RNA, 941 nt
Filed under: Ephemerocybe pellucida
Lineage: Eukaryota; Fungi; Basidiomycota; Agaricomycetes; Agaricales; Psathyrellaceae
Description: partial large subunit ribosomal RNA
Rfam family: Eukaryotic large subunit ribosomal RNA
Source: RNAcentral
GCAUAUCAAUAAGCGGAGGAAAAGAAACUAACAAGGAUUCCCCUAGUAACUGCGAGUGAAGCGGGAAAAGCUCAAAUUUAAAAUCUGGUGGUCUUCGGCCAUCCGAGUUGUAAUCUAGAGAAGUGUUACCCGCGUCGGACCGUGUACAAGUCUCCUGGAAUGGAGCGUCAUAGAGGGUGAGAAUCCCGUCUUUGACACGGACUACCGAGGCUUUGUGGUGCGCUCUCAAAGAGUCGAGUUGUUUGGGAAUGCAGCUCAAAAUGGGUGGUAAAUUCCAUCUAAAGCUAAAUAUUGGCGAGAGACCGAUAGCGAACAAGUACCGUGAGGGAAAGAUGAAAAGAACUUUGGAAAGAGAGUUAAACAGUACGUGAAAUUGCUGAAAGGGAAACGCUUGAAGUCAGUCGCGUUGGCCGGAAAUCAGCCUUCCUUUUGGUUGGUGUACUUUCUGGUUGACGGGCCAGCAUCAGUUUUGACCGGUGGAUAAAGUUGUGAGGAAUGUGGCAUCUUCGGGUGUGUUAUAGCCUCGCUUCGUAUACAUCGAUUGGGACUGAGGAACUCAGCACGCCGAAAGGCCGGGGUUCGCCCACGUUCGUGCUUAGGAUGCUGGCAUAAUGGCUUUAAUCGACCCGUCUUGAAACACGGACCAAGGAGUCUAACAUGCCUGCGAGUGUUUGGGUGGAAAACCCGAGCGCGUAAUGAAAGUGAAAGUCGAGAUCCUUGUCAUGGGGAGCAUCGACGCCCGGACCAGAAGUUUACGGACGGCCCUGCGGUAGAGCAUGUAUGUUGGGACCCGAAAGAUGGUGAACUAUGCCUGAAUAGGGUGAAGCCAGAGGAAACUCUGGUGGAGGCUCGUAGCGAUUCUGACGUGCAAAUCGAUCGUCAAAUUUGGGUAUAGGGGCGAAAGACUAAUCGAACCAUCUAGUAGCUGGGUUCCUGCCGAG